AUGAACACACUUAUUCUCUCCGAUAAUCAAAUCACAGGCCCAAUACCUCCAGAACUAGGCAACCUCCCUAUGCUAAACCAACUUAUGCUCUACCAAAAUCAAAUCAUAGGCUCAAUACCCACAGAACUAGGAAACCUCACUAUGCUCAAUAACCUUGUUCUCUACCAAAAUCAAAUCACAGGCCCAAUACCUUCAGAAUUGGGCAAGCUGCUAAAUCUCCAAGCAUUGGAAUUGUCAGUCAACCAAAUAUUUGGCUCUAUUCCUGCCAGCUUAGGAAAUAUUACCAACCUAGUAGCAUUAUCCCUCUAUUUUAAUCAGAUAACUGGUCCCAUCCCCAAAGAGAUUGGCAAUCUGAUGAACCUCGAAACUUUAAGGUUGCAUCUGAACCAAAUUUCAGGAUCAAUACCAAAAACUUUUGGGAAGAUGCAAAGUAUCCAUGAUCUGACAAUCUACAAUAACACACUAUCAGGUUAUCUUCCUCCGGAGUUUGACAAUCUCACAAACCUUGUUAAUCUUUCGAUAUCUAGCAACCCACUUUCAGGACCUUUACCUGCAAAUAUAUGUUCAGGUGGAAAACUUCAAUUUCUCAGUGUCUUUAAUGAUAUGUUCAAUGGCCCCAUUCCAAGGAGUUUAAAGACAUGCACAAGUUUAGUUAUAGUUGACAUUCAAUGGAACCAACUAAUAGGUGAUAUAUCUCAGGAUUUUGGUGUGUAUCCACAUCUCAAAUGGAUGAACUUGGCAUCCAAUAGAAUCUCUGGUCACAUCUCACCAAAUCUAGGUGCAUCUACCCAGCUAACAGUACUAACUCUAGCAGAUAAUAUGAUCAUGGGUUCCAUACCUAGUAUCAUUUUCAAAUUGUCCAACCUAGCAGUACUAGGAUUCGAUUCUAAUCAUCUCAGUGGUGAGAUUCCACCUGAAAUCUUUAGUUUAGCAAAUCUAUAUUACCUAAACUUGUCAUCGAACCAGUUAUCUGGAUCCAUACCCACACAUAUGGAAAAGUUAAGUAGUCUUCAAUACCUUGAUAUAUCUUGGAACAGACUGAGUGGAUUAAUACCUAAGGAACUAGGAGCAUGCAAGAAACUAUUGUCCCUAAAGAUCAACAACAACAACUUCAGUGGGUAUUUGCCUGGUGCGAUUGGAAAUUUAGAAGGCCUGCAGAUGCGGUUAGAUGUGAGCUGCAAUAACCUUAGUGGUGUGUUGCCACAACAACUUGGGAAGUUGAAGAUGCUAGAAUUUCUGAAUUUAUCCCAUGAUCAGUUCAAUGGCAGCAUUCCAUCCUCCUUUGCAAGCAUGGUGAGUCUUUCAAAACUUGAUGUGUCCUACAACAACUUGGAAGGACCAGUCCCAACAACAUGGCAUCUCCAAAAUGCUUCAGAAAGUUGGUUUCUUCCCAAUAAAGGUCUGUGUGGUAACCUCUCUGGACUGACUCCUUGUUAUUCAACUCUACUAGUUGGCCGCCAUAAACCUAAGACACUUGGUUUGCUUUUGCCAAGUGUUCUUGUGGUGGGUUUCGCCAUUGUUGCUGCAAUUGUUGUCUUAAUAAUUCUUAGUCGUAAAAAGAGGAAACCACAAGAAGGUGUCACAGCUGAACCAAGAGACCUAUUUUCUGUUUGGAAUUUUGAUGGAAGAUUGGCAUUUGAUGAUAUUGUAAGGGCAACCGAAGACUUCAACGACAAGUACGUCACUGGAACAGGAGGAUACGGCAAAGUAUACAAGUCACAACUUCAAGAUGGGCAGCUAGUUGCUGUGAAGAAGCUUCACCUGACUGAAGAAGAGUUGGAUGACGAAAGAAGAUUUCUUAGAGAAAUGGAAAUCUUAUCACAGAUCCGACAGCGAAGCAUUGUCAAAAUGUAUGGAUUCUGCUCCCAUCCAGCAUAUAAAUUUCUUGUGUACAAUUACAUUGAGCAGGGCAGCCUCCGCAGGACAUUGGAAAAUGAGGAGUUAGCAAAGGAAUUAGAUUGGAAGAAGAGAAUUGCUCUUGCAACUGAUGUGGCUCAAGCAAUAGCUUAUUUGCACCACGAAUGCAGUCCACCGAUAAUCCAUCGAGAUAUCACAAGCAACAACAUCUUACUUGAUACAACCUUUAAGGUUUUUGUCUCGGAUUUCGGCACGGCAAGGAUUCUUAAGCCCGAUUCAUCAAACUGGAGUGCACUAGCAGGGACAUAUGGCUACAUAGCUCCUGAACUCUCAUACACAUCAGUCGUGACUGAGAAAUGUGAUGUCUAUAGCUUUGGCGUGAUGGGGAAGCAUCCAAGGGAUCUAUUAGACGGUAGUUUGUCGAGCGGGGAACAAGCUAUGCUGGUGAAAUAUAUUAUAGACCAACGGCCGGCAACACCAAUAACAACAGAAGAGAAUAGCUUAGCUCUGCUCAUCAAGCUGGCCUUUUCUUGCUUGGAAUCUUCUCCACAAGCAAGGCUAACCAUGCGGGAGGCAUACCAAACACUCAUCCAGCGACCCUCUUCUAGUUCCUGCCCCGUGCCCUUUAGUGCACUUACAUUACAGCAAGUAAGGGACUCAUGUUGA
Molecule: ribosomal RNA, 2523 nt
Filed under: Triticum aestivum (bread wheat)
Lineage: Eukaryota; Viridiplantae; Streptophyta; Magnoliopsida; Poales; Poaceae
Description: partial small subunit ribosomal RNA
Source: RNAcentral